RNAcentral lists this ribosomal RNA (253 nucleotides) under uncultured bacterium. RNAcentral describes it as "partial 16S ribosomal RNA". It matches the Rfam family "Bacterial small subunit ribosomal RNA", at positions 524 to 776 of the family's 1533-position model. The record is from RNAcentral.
UACGUAGGGUGCGAGCGUUAAUCGGAAUUACUGGGCGUAAAGCGUGCGUAGGCGGCUAUGUAAGACAGAUGUGAAAUCCCUGGGCUUAACCUAGGAACUGCAUUUGUGACUGCAUUGCUAGAGUGUGGUAGAGGGAGAUGGAAUUCCGCGUGUAGCAGUGAAAUGCGUAGAGAUGCGGAGGAACACCGAUGGCGAAGGCAGCCCCCUGGGCCAACACUGACGCUCAGGCACGAAAGCGUGGGGAGCAAACAGG